This 406-nucleotide ribosomal RNA is filed under the name uncultured bacterium. RNAcentral's name for it is "bacterial SSU rRNA". It matches the Rfam family "Bacterial small subunit ribosomal RNA", at positions 355 to 775 of the family's 1533-position model. The record is from RNAcentral.
UGGGGAAUAUUGGGCAAUGGGGGAAACCCUGACCCAGCAACGCCGCGUGAAGGACGAAGGCCUUCGGGUUGUAAACUUCUUUGAUCAGGGACGAAACAAAUGACGGUACCUGAGGAACAAGCCACGGCUAACUACGUGCCAGCAGCCGCGGUAAUACGUAGGUGGCAAGCGUUAUCCGGAUUUACUGGGUGUAAAGGGCGUGUAGGCGGUCUUGCAAGUCGGAAGUGAAAUUCCCGGGCUUAACCCGGGCGCUGCUCCCGAAACUGCGAGACUUGAGUACUGGAGAGGAUAGUGGAAUUCCUAGUGUAGCGGUAAAAUGCGUAGAUAUUAGGAGGAACACCAGUGGCGAAGGCGGCUAUCUGGACAGUAACUGACGCUGAGGCGCGAAAGCGUGGGGAGCAAACAG